UACGUAGGGUGCAAGCGUUGUCCGGAAUUAUUGGGCGUAAAGAGCUCGUAGGCGGUCUGUCGCGUCGGCUGUGAAAACCCGAGGCUCAACCUCGGGCCUGCAGUCGAUACGGGCAAACUAGAGUACUGCAGGGGGAGACUGGAAUUCCUGGUGUAGCGGUGAAAUGCGCAGAUAUCAGGAGGAACACCGGUGGCGAAGGCGGGUCUCUGGGCAGUAACUGACGCUGAGGAGCGAAAGCGUGGGGAGCGAACAGG
Molecule: ribosomal RNA, 254 nt
Filed under: uncultured bacterium
Lineage: Bacteria
Description: partial 16S ribosomal RNA
Rfam family: Bacterial small subunit ribosomal RNA
Source: RNAcentral